This 290-nucleotide long non-coding RNA is filed under the name Elaeis guineensis (African oil palm). RNAcentral describes it as "long non-coding RNA (EGUI_LNC040144)". Lineage: Eukaryota; Viridiplantae; Streptophyta; Magnoliopsida; Arecales; Arecaceae. The record is from RNAcentral.
AUCGUUGCUUCUUCUACCAGGUUCUCUAGUAUAUCUAUUUCGAAAUCAUUGCUUUGAGAUCCUUGGGAAGCAUUGAAUAUGUUCAAUCUCAGCUUUUUGUUCCGAAAUGAAACAUCCAUCUUACAAUUGAUGCAAGCGUUCGUUGUAGCUAGAAAGGGUCACCCUAAAAUUAUGAGAAUUUGUCUCGAUGUACUAGAAUAUUCUUUAUCGAGGACUAGAAAGUCAACUGAAAAGUAAAAUUCAUCUAUUUUGAUGAGUACAUCCUCUAUCAUGCAAUGCGAUAUCUUGAC